Molecule: ribosomal RNA, 515 nt
Filed under: uncultured bacterium
Lineage: Bacteria
Description: partial 16S ribosomal RNA
Rfam family: Bacterial small subunit ribosomal RNA
Source: RNAcentral
GAUGAACGCUGGCGGCGUGCCUAAUACAUGCAAGUCGAGCGAAUGGAUUAAGAGCUUGCUCUUAUGAAGUUAGCGGCGGACGGGUGAGUAACACGUGGGUAACCUGCCCAUAAGACUGGGAUAACUCCGGGAAACCGGGGCUAAUACCGGAUAACAUUUUGAACCGCAUGGUUCGAAAUUGAAAGGCGGCUUCGGCUGUCAAUUAUGGAUGGACACGCGUCGCAUUAGCUAGUUGGUGAGGUAACGGCUCACCAAGGCAACGAUGCGUAGCCGACCUGAGAGGGCGAUCGGCCACACUGGGACUGAGACACGGCCCAGACUCCUACGGGAGGCAGCAGUAGGGAAUCUUCCGCAAUGGACGAAAGUCUGACGGAGCAACGCCGCGUGAGUGAUGAAGGCUUUCGGGUCGUAAAACUCUGUUGUUAGGGAAGAACAAGUGCUAGUUGAAUAAGCUGGCACCUUGACGGUACCUAACCAGAAAGCCACGGCUAACUACGUGCCAGCCGCCGCCGUAA